Non-coding RNA from Musa acuminata subsp. malaccensis (wild Malaysian banana), 561 nucleotides. NCBI's taxonomy places the organism in Eukaryota, Viridiplantae, Streptophyta, Magnoliopsida, Zingiberales, Musaceae. The record is from RefSeq and is a predicted model, not a curated record.
UGUUAAUGGGCACAUAAGGCCCAUUAAAUGGGGGGAACAUCCGGUAGUCAAUGGCGUCGUUACCCAAUAAGAUAAGCCCAUUGGAGGAAUAAACGGGAUUCGAGCGCAUCGGAAGUUGGUCCGACGCUCGCGGUGAUCGCCGACGUCCAAGACUCGAGAUGCAUGCAUGAUGAUGUUGGUGGGGAUCACGUGGCAUUUGCGACAAUAUAACAUCUCAAUAAAAAAUGCUUUUCUAGUAAAUUUGAUGUUCAGAGUAUCCUGGUGUGCCCUGGUAAUUCGAUUGAGCUCCAGUCCAGUUGUCCUACAAUGCAAAGUUGGUCGAUCAACCUUCUCGAAUGUCUUCAAGGAAAAGUAUGAGGUUUAUCUGCCAGCAAAAUAAGAGAUCUUUAAAGAACUUGUGAGAUAGGACAUACAAAGUUUUUCGUGCGACUGGUCCCGUGGACAACAAGGUUCGUCAUAUUUCCAAUGAGGUUAUGUUCCAUAAAGUUUGGUAUCACUGCACCUAUCCAGGUUCUUUCCGGGUCGGGAUAUCUAUCAGCAAUCAUAUAGUUGAAGCAUCCA